AUUGAACGCUGGCGGCAUGCCUUACACAUGCCAGUCGAACGGCAGCACGGGAGUAAUCCUGGUGGCGAGUGGCGAACGGGUGAGUAAAGCAUCGGAACGUGCCCAGUCGUGGGGGAUAACGUAGCGAAAGCUACGCUAAUACCGCAUACGAUCUGUGGAUGAAAGCGGGGGACCGUAAGGCCUCGCGCGAUUGGAGCGGCCGAUGUCAGAUUAGGUAGUUGGUGAGGUAAAGGCUCACCAAGCCGACGAUCUGUAGCUGGUCUGAGAGGACGACCAGCCACACUGGGACUGAGACACGGCCCAGACUCCUACGGGAGGCAGCAGUGGGGAAUUUUGGACAAUGGGCGCAAGCCUGAUCCAGCAAUGCCGCGUGCAGGAUGAAGGCCUUCGGGUUGUAAACUGCUUUUGUACGGAGCGAAAAGGCUUCCACUAAUACUGGGGGCUCAUGACGGUACCGUAAGAAUAAGCACCGGCUAACUACGUG
Molecule: ribosomal RNA, 484 nt
Filed under: uncultured bacterium
Lineage: Bacteria
Description: partial 16S ribosomal RNA
Rfam family: Bacterial small subunit ribosomal RNA
Source: RNAcentral